UCUGUGGCUAUGCCACCCUGAGCACGCCAGGUCUCCUCUCAUCUCAGAAGCUAAGCAGGGUCAGGCUUGGUUAGUACUUGGACGGGAGACAUGUGCUGCAAGAU
Molecule: ribosomal RNA, 104 nt
Filed under: Jaculus jaculus (lesser Egyptian jerboa)
Lineage: Eukaryota; Metazoa; Chordata; Mammalia; Rodentia; Dipodidae
Source: RNAcentral